AACGAACGCUGGCGGCAUGUCUAACACAUGCAAGUCGAACGAGACCUUCGGGUCUAGUGGCGCACGGGUGCGUAACGCGUGGGAACCUGCCCUUAGGUUCGGAAUAACUCCCCGAAAGGGGUGCUAAUACCGGAUAAUGUCUUCGGACCAAAGAUUUAUCGCCUUUGGAUGGGCCCGCGUUGGAUUAGCUAGUUGGUAGGGUAAAAGCCUACCAAGGCGACGAUCCAUAGCUGGUCUGAGAGGAUGAUCAGCCACACUGGGACUGAGACACGGCCCAGUCUCCUACGGGAGGCAGCAGUGGGGAAUAUUGGACAAUGGGCGAAAGCCUGAUCCAGCAAUGCCGCGUGAGUGAUGAAGGCCUUAGGGUUGUAAAGCUCUUUUAACCGGGAUGAUAAUGACAGUACCGGGAGAAUAAGCUCCGGCUAACUCCGUG
This 433-nucleotide ribosomal RNA is filed under the name uncultured bacterium. RNAcentral describes it as "partial 16S ribosomal RNA". It matches the Rfam family "Bacterial small subunit ribosomal RNA", at positions 29 to 507 of the family's 1533-position model. The record is from RNAcentral.